GAUCACUGGAAAAAGAAGUUCACAGAGGAUGAACAGAGAAAAUGAGGUGCCUGUGGUGAAAUUCUGGAUAAAAGCAUGAAAUUAACUGCUCUCCAAGCCAAAGAGGGUAACUCCAAGUCAGUACCACCAUCGUUCUGAUUGAAGUAGUGAAAGAACAUCGAAAGAGCCUGUUCUAGGCGAGAAAAAGCCUGAAGAUGAGGAAAAGACAAGAGGUUGCCGUACGAUAUGAUCAAAACAGUUCAGAAAUACAUAAUUUCUUCUACCGGCAUGGAAUUACAAGAGCUUGACCAAGCAGAUUCAAGAGAGAAUGGCUGACAUUUUUUUUAUUGAUGGAAUUUGUCAACAGUUAAAGCUCCGGCUCUUUCCCUAUCAGUGCCUCAGGUUGUCUUCUCUACUGUUACUUUUCCUCAGACUCACAGCACCACCUGGAACCUGCUGAGAAUGCCUCUGAAAGAGACAGCAUUGAGAAUCCACUGCUUCUAGGUAAACCUGAUGGAGUUGAGAGCUUUACUGAACCAACUUGAGCUGAGCUAUAACCAACGUGACACAGCACCAGGGGACCAUGCGUUGCCAGGGGCAAAAGUCCAGAGGACCAAGGCUGGAAAACUGCAAAGAUACACCCGGGGAAGAGCUACUGAAGGCUCCUGGGAAGGAGAAGCAGAAGCAAUGGAGAUGGAAUGUUCAUAAAGGACCUAUUUCUAAAAGAGUGAAAAGCAAAAGUUUUCUCCCGAACCUGAUACUGAUGCGAGACAGCAGAUUGGCCGGGAUGACUUGUGCUGUCAGUUUGCAUUACCAGCGUCAGCCCUCUGAAGGACGGAUUUUGCACUGUACAUUUCUAACAUAUCCAGUUCUGUGUGCAUUGGAAUAUUUCUGCAGGCAGUAGGAUUAAUCUCUCCUAGCAAUAAAAGCGGGAACCGCCGGAGGAAGGGGUGUCACCGAAGCGCUGCAGACGCACAAAGAGAGCCGCGGGCACAACACAUUUGUCAC
Cuculus canorus (common cuckoo) is the source of this 987-nucleotide long non-coding RNA. RefSeq lists it as uncharacterized. The transcript is spliced from 7 exons. Lineage: Eukaryota; Metazoa; Chordata; Aves; Cuculiformes; Cuculidae. The record is from RefSeq and is a predicted model, not a curated record.